This 69-nucleotide transfer RNA is filed under the name Elminia longicauda. RNAcentral's name for it is "tRNA-Gly". It matches the Rfam family "tRNA". Rfam says of the family: Transfer RNA (tRNA) molecules are approximately 80 nucleotides in length. Their secondary structure includes four short double-helical elements and three loops (D, anti-codon, and T loops). The record is from RNAcentral. Lineage: Eukaryota; Metazoa; Chordata; Aves; Passeriformes; Stenostiridae.
ACUCUUCUAGUAUAACAAAUACAACCGACUUCCAAUCCGUUAAUUCUGGCUCAAACCCAGAGAAGAGUA